UACGUAGGUGGCAAGCGUUGUCCGGAAUUACUGGGUGUAAAGGGCGUGUAGGCGGGAAGGCAAGUCAGAUGUGAAAGCCCAUGGCUUAACUGUGGAACUGCAUCUGAAACUGUUUUUCUUGAGUACUGGAGAGGAAAGUGGAAUUCCUAGUGUAGCGGUGAAAUGCGUAGAGAUUAGGAGGAACACCAGUGGCGAAGGCGGCUUUCUGGACAGUAACUGACGCUGAGGCGCGAAAGCGUGGGGAGCAAACAGGAUUAGAUACCCGUGUA
RNAcentral lists this ribosomal RNA (269 nucleotides) under uncultured prokaryote. RNAcentral's name for it is "partial 16S ribosomal RNA". It matches the Rfam family "Bacterial small subunit ribosomal RNA", at positions 524 to 792 of the family's 1533-position model. The record is from RNAcentral.